GCAGCCAUGCCGCGUGUGUGAAGAAGGCCUUCGGGUUGUAAAGCACUUUCAGUCGUGAGGAAGGUGGUGGUUAAUAGCUAUAUUUGACGUUAGCGACAGAAGAAGCACCGGCUAACUCCGUGCCAGCAGCCGCGGUAAUACGGAGGGUGCGAGCGUUAAUCGGAAUUACUGGGCGUAAAGCGCAUGCAGGUGGUUUGUUAAGUCAGAUGUGAAAGCCCGGGGCUCAACCUCGGAAUAGCAUUUGAAACUGGCAGACUAGAGUACUGUAGAGGGGGGUAGAAUUUCAGGUGUAGCGGUGAAAUGCGUAGAGAUCUGAAGGAAUACCGGUGGCGAAGGCGGCCCCCUGGACAGAUACUGACACUCAGAUGCGAAAGCGUGGGGAGCAAACAGGAUUAGAUACCCUGGUAGUCCACGCCGUAAACGAUGUCUACUUGGAGGUUGUGGCCUUGAGCCGUGGCUUUCGGAGCUAACGCGUUAAGUAGACCGCCUGGGGAGUACGGUCGCAAGAUUAAAACUCAAAUGAAUUGACGGGGGCCCGCACAAGCGGUGGAGCAUGUGGUUUAAUUCGAUGCAACGCGAAGAACCUUACCUACUCUUGACAUCCAGAGAACUUUCCAGAGAUGGAUUGGUGCCUUCGGGAACUCUGAGACAGGUGCUGCAUGGCUGUCGUCAGCUCGUGUUGUGAAAUGUUGGGUUAAGUCCCGCAACGAGCGCAACCCUUAUCCUUGUUUG
Molecule: ribosomal RNA, 732 nt
Filed under: Vibrio sp.
Lineage: Bacteria; Pseudomonadati; Pseudomonadota; Gammaproteobacteria; Vibrionales; Vibrionaceae
Description: bacterial SSU rRNA
Rfam family: Bacterial small subunit ribosomal RNA
Source: RNAcentral